UACAGAGGUCCCAAGCGUUGUUCGGAUUCACUGGGCGUAAAGGGUGCGUAGGCGGUCGGGUAAGUCUGAUGUGAAAUCUCACAGCUUAACUGUGAAACUGCAUUGGAUACUAUCCGGCUUGAGGAAUGGAGGGGAGACUGGAAUACUUGGUGUAGCAGUGAAAUGCGUAGAUAUCAAGUGGAACACCAGUGGCGAAGGCGAGUCCCUGGACAACACCUGACACUGAGGCACGAAAGCUAGGGGAGCAAACAGG
RNAcentral lists this ribosomal RNA (253 nucleotides) under uncultured bacterium. RNAcentral describes it as "partial 16S ribosomal RNA". It matches the Rfam family "Bacterial small subunit ribosomal RNA", at positions 524 to 776 of the family's 1533-position model. The record is from RNAcentral.